AUUGAACGCUGGCGGCAGGCCUGACACAUGCAAGUCGAGCGGUAGCACAGGGAGCUUGCUCCUGGGUGACGAGCGGCGGACGGGUGAGUAAUGUCUGGGAAACUGCCUGAUGGAGGGGGAUAACUACUGGAAACGGUAGCUAAUACCGCAUAACGUCGCAAGACCAAAGAGGGGGACCUUCGGGCCUCUUGCCCUCAGAUGUGCCCAGAUGGGAUUAGCUAGUAGGUGGGGUAACGGCUCACCUAGGCGACGAUCCCUAGCUGGUCUGAGAGGAUGACCAGCCACACUGGAACUGAGACACGGUCCAGACUCCUACGGGAGGCAGCAGUGGGGAAUAUUGCACAAUGGGCGCAAGCCUGAUGCAGCCAUGCCGCGUGUAUGAAGAAGGCCUUCGGGUUGUAAAGUACUUUCAGCGGGGAGGAAGGUGUUGAGGUUAAUAACCUCAGCAAUUGACGUUACCCGCAGAAGAAGCACCGGCUAACUCCGUGCCAGCCGCCGCCGUAA
Molecule: ribosomal RNA, 504 nt
Filed under: uncultured bacterium
Lineage: Bacteria
Description: partial 16S ribosomal RNA
Rfam family: Bacterial small subunit ribosomal RNA
Source: RNAcentral